AUUUAAGUAGUUUAAGAAAAAUUUAGAUUUGUGGAGUCUAGGAUGUAAGAGUUUACUUUAAAUA
Molecule: transfer RNA, 64 nt
Filed under: Cucujoidea sp. 37 KM-2017
Lineage: Eukaryota; Metazoa; Arthropoda; Insecta; Coleoptera
Description: tRNA-His
Source: RNAcentral